Molecule: ribosomal RNA, 490 nt
Filed under: uncultured bacterium
Lineage: Bacteria
Description: partial 16S ribosomal RNA
Rfam family: Bacterial small subunit ribosomal RNA
Source: RNAcentral
AUUGAACGCUGGCGGCAGGCCUAACACAUGCAAGUCGAACGGUAACAGGAAACAGCUUGCUGUUUCGCUGACGAGUGGCGGACGGGUGAGUAAUGUCUUGGAAACUGCUUGAUGGAGGGUGAUAACUACUGGAAACGGUAUCUAAUACCGCAUAACGUCGCAAGACCAAAGAGGGGGACCUUCGUUCCUCUUGCCUUCGGAUCUGCCCAGAUGGGCUUGGCUAGUAGGUGGGGUACUGUCUCACCUCGGCGACGCUCGUUAGCUGGUGUGAGAGGGUGACCAGCCAAACUGGAACUGAGACACGGUCCGGACUGCUAGGCGAGGGAGCAGUGGGGAAUAUUACGGCAUGGGCGGGAGCAUGAUGCAGCGAUGCCGCGUGUAUGAAGAAGGCCUUCGGGUUGUAAAAUAAUUUCAGCGGGGAGGAAGGAAGUAAAGUUAAUACCUUUACUCAUUGACGUUACCCGCAGAAGAAGCACCGGCUAACUCCGUG